UUACAAGUCAAUGGCCUUUCUCUACA
RNAcentral lists this non-coding RNA (26 nucleotides) under Mus musculus (house mouse). Lineage: Eukaryota; Metazoa; Chordata; Mammalia; Rodentia; Muridae. The record is from RNAcentral.